UACGUAGGGGGCGAGCGUUGUCCGGAGUUACUGGGCGUAAAGGGCACGCAGGCGGUGCGGCGCGUUUCGCGUGACAGCGGAGGGCUUAACUCUCCGAGGAUGCGAAAGACGGCGGCACUUGAGGGCCAGAGAGGGACACGGAAUUCCGGGUGGAGUGGUGAAAUGCGUAGAGAUCAGGAAGAACACCAACGGCGAAGGCAGCUCGCUGGGACGGAACUGACGCUAAGGCGCGAAAGCGUGGGGAGCGAACAGG
RNAcentral lists this ribosomal RNA (253 nucleotides) under uncultured bacterium. Its description in RNAcentral is "partial 16S ribosomal RNA". It matches the Rfam family "Bacterial small subunit ribosomal RNA", at positions 524 to 776 of the family's 1533-position model. The record is from RNAcentral.